This 888-nucleotide long non-coding RNA is filed under the name Nicotiana tabacum (common tobacco). Its description in RNAcentral is "long non-coding RNA (NTAB_LNC002270)". The record is from RNAcentral. Lineage: Eukaryota; Viridiplantae; Streptophyta; Magnoliopsida; Solanales; Solanaceae.
AAACUGAGCUUUCCCAUGCAGUCAACAUUAGGGUUUUAAACCCUAAACUGAACUUUUCCAAUCAGUCAGCAUUAGGGUUUUAAACCCUAAACUGAACUUUUUCCUUUAAUCAGCAUUAGGGUUUUAAACCCUAAACUGAACUUUUCCUUUUAGUCAGCAUUAGGGUUUUAAACCCUAAACUGAACUUUUUUCCAUUAAGCCAGCAUUAGGGUUUUAAACCCUAAACUGAGCUUUUCCAUGCAGUCAGCAUUAGGGUUUUAAACCCUAAACUGAAUUUUCCCUUUAGUCAGCAUUAGGGUUUUAAACCCUAAACUGAACUUUUUCCAUUCAGCCAGCAUUAGGGUUUUAAACCCUAAACUGAACUUUUUCCAUUCAGUCAGCAUUAGGGUUUUAAACUCUAAGCUGAACUUUUUCCAUUUAGUCAGCAUUAGGGUUUUAAACCCUAAACUGAACUUUCCAGCCAGUCAGCAUUAGGGUUUUAAACCUUAAACUGAACUCUUUUCCAUGCAGUCAGCAUUAGGGUUUUAAAUCCUAAACUGAAUUUUCCCUUUAGUCAGCAUUAGGGUUUUAAACCCUAAACUGAACUUUUUCCAUUCAGCCAGCAUUAGGGUUUUAAACCCUAAACUGAGCUUUUCCAUGCAGUCAGCAUUAGGGUUUUAAAUCCUAAACUGAAUUUUCCCUUUAGUCAACAUUAGGGUUUAAACCAUAAACUGAAGUUUUUCCAUUCAGCCAGCAUUAGGGUUUUAAACCCUAAACUGAGCUUUUCCAUGCAGUCAGCAUUAGGGUUUUAAACCCUAAACUGAACUUUUCCUUUAGUCAGCAUUAGGGCUUUAAACCCUAAACUGAACUCUUUCAUUCAGCCAGCAUUAGGGUUUUAAACCCUAAACU